RNAcentral lists this ribosomal RNA (677 nucleotides) under Bacillus sp. EECC-473. Its description in RNAcentral is "bacterial SSU rRNA". It matches the Rfam family "Bacterial small subunit ribosomal RNA", at positions 59 to 720 of the family's 1533-position model. Lineage: Bacteria; Bacillati; Bacillota; Bacilli; Caryophanales; Bacillaceae. The record is from RNAcentral.
CAGUCGAGCGAUCAAUGGGAGCUUGCUCCCUGAGAUUAGCGGCGGACGGGUGAGUAACACGUGGGCAACCUGCCUAUAAGACUGGGAUAACUUCGGGAAACCGGAGCUAAUACCGGAUACGUUCUUUUCUCGCAUGAGAGAAGAUGGAAAGACGGUUUACGCUGUCACUUAUAGAUGGGCCCGCGGCGCAUUAGCUAGUUGGUGAGGUAAUGGCUCACCAAGGCGACGAUGCGUAGCCGACCUGAGAGGGUGAUCGGCCACACUGGGACUGAGACACGGCCCAGACUCCUACGGGAGGCAGCAGUAGGGAAUCUUCCGCAAUGGACGAAAGUCUGACGGAGCAACGCCGCGUGAACGAAGAAGGCCUUCGGGUCGUAAAGUUCUGUUGUUAGGGAAGAACAAGUACCAGAGUAACUGCUGGUACCUUGACGGUACCUAACCAGAAAGCCACGGCUAACUACGUGCCAGCAGCCGCGGUAAUACGUAGGUGGCAAGCGUUGUCCGGAAUUAUUGGGCGUAAAGCGCGCGCAGGUGGUUCCUUAAGUCUGAUGUGAAAGCCCACGGCUCAACCGUGGAGGGUCAUUGGAAACUGGGGAACUUGAGUGCAGAAGAGGAAAGUGGAAUUCCAAGUGUAGCGGUGAAAUGCGUAGAGAUUUGGAGGAACACCAGUGGCGAAG